GACGAACGCUGGCGGCGUGCUUAACACAUGCAAGUCGAACGGAAAGGCCCUGCUUGCCGGGUACUCGAGUGGCGAACGGGUGAGUAACACGUGGGUGAUCUGCCCUGCACUUCGGGAUAAGCCUGGGAAACUGGGUCUAAUACCGGAUAGGAGCCAUUUUUAGUGUGAUGGUUGGAAAGUUUUUUCGGUGUAGGAUGAGCUCGCGGCCUAUCAGCUUGUUGGUGGGGUAAUGGCCUACCAAGGCGGCGACGGGUAGCCGGCCUGAGAGGGUGGACGGCCACAUUGGGACUGAGAGACGGCCCAGACUCCUACGGGAGGCAGCAGUGGGGAAUAUUGCACAAUGGGCGCAAGCCUGAUGCAGCGACGCCGCGUGGGGGAUGACGGCCUUCGGGUUGUAAACUCCUUUCGCUAGGGACGAAGCUUUUUGUGACGGUACCUAGAGAAGAAGCACCGGCUAACUACGUG
This 465-nucleotide ribosomal RNA is filed under the name uncultured bacterium. RNAcentral's name for it is "partial 16S ribosomal RNA". It matches the Rfam family "Bacterial small subunit ribosomal RNA", at positions 28 to 507 of the family's 1533-position model. The record is from RNAcentral.